UAAAUCUAGGACAUAAUUUUAUACUUAAUACAUUAAUAUGAUCAAUAAAAAGAUAAGUUUAUUUUUUAUUCAAGUGUGAUGUAUCUUUGAAUCAUCUAUGGAAUUAGCUUUCGAUACAUAUUCUCAAGAGUUAAGAAUUAGAGACAUGUAUUUAAUUCCUAAAUACUCCUGAUCAUAGAAUUAUCAUGAGGAUGAUGAUCAAUCCGGAUAGAUCGACGCAC
Molecule: long non-coding RNA, 221 nt
Filed under: Elaeis guineensis (African oil palm)
Lineage: Eukaryota; Viridiplantae; Streptophyta; Magnoliopsida; Arecales; Arecaceae
Description: long non-coding RNA (EGUI_LNC047838)
Source: RNAcentral